AACGAACGCUGGCGGCGCGCCUAAUACAUGCAAGUCGAGCGAGAAGGUGUAGCAAUACACUUGUAAAGCGGCGAACGGGUGAGGAAUACAUGGGUAAUCUACCAUCGAGUGGGGAAUAACCAACCGAAAGGUUGGCUAAUACCGCGUACGCCUCCGAGUCUUCGGGUUCGGAGGGAAAGCUGCACUGUGAGUGUAGCGCUCUUUGAUGAGCUCAUGUCCUAUCAGCUUGUUGGUAGGGUAACGGCCUACCAAGGCUUUGACGGGUAGCUGGUCUGAGAGGACGAUCAGCCACACUGGCACUGCGACACGGGCCAGACUCCUACGGGAGGCAGCAGUAAGGAAUCUUGCGCAAUGGGCGAAAGCCUGACGCAGCGACGCCGCGUGGAGGAUGACGGUUUUCGGAUUGUAAACUCCUGUUAAGCGGGAGAAAGCCUUGUUUCUAAUACAAGCAAGGUAUGACGGUACCGCUAGGAAAGCACCGG
Molecule: ribosomal RNA, 482 nt
Filed under: uncultured bacterium
Lineage: Bacteria
Description: bacterial SSU rRNA
Rfam family: Bacterial small subunit ribosomal RNA
Source: RNAcentral